Molecule: ribosomal RNA, 324 nt
Filed under: uncultured bacterium
Lineage: Bacteria
Description: bacterial SSU rRNA
Rfam family: Bacterial small subunit ribosomal RNA
Source: RNAcentral
AGCAACGCCGCGUGAGUGAAGAAGGUUUUCGGAUCGUAAAGCUCUGUUGUAAGAGAAGAACGUGUGUGAGAGUGGAAAGUUCACACAGUGACGGUAACUUACCAGAAAGGGACGGCUAACUACGUGCCAGCAGCCGCGGUAAUACGUAGGUCCCGAGCGUUGUCCGGAUUUAUUGGGCGUAAAGCGAGCGCAGGCGGUUUAAUAAGUCUGAAGUUAAAGGCAGUGGCUUAACCAUUGUUCGCUUUGGAAACUGUUAAACUUGAGUGCAGAAGGGGAGAGUGGAAUUCCAUGUGUAGCGGUGAAAUGCGUAGAUAUAUGGAGGAA